UCAUUUAAAGAGUGCGUAAUAGCUCACUAGUCGAGUGACACUGCGCCGAAAAUGUACCGGGGCUAAACAUAUUACCGAAGCUGUGGAUUGUCCUUUGGACAAUGGUAGGAGAGCGUUCUAAGGGCGUUGAAGCAUGAUCGUAAGGACAUGUGGAGCGCUUAGAAGUGAGAAUGCCGGUGUGAGUAGCGAAAGACGGGUGAGAAUCCCGUCCACCGAUUGACUAAGGUUUCCAGAGGAAGGCUCGUCCGCUCUGGGUUAGUCGGGUCCUAAGCUGAGGCCGACAGGCGUAGGCGAUGGAUAACAGGUUGAUAUUCCUGUACCACCUAUAAUCGUUUUAAUCGAUGGGGGGACGCAGUAGGAUAGGCGAAGCGUGCGAUUGGAUUGCACGUCUAAGCAGUAAGGCUGAGUAUUAGGCAAAUCCGGUACUCGUUAAGGCUGAGCUGUGAUGGGGAGAAGACAUUGUGUCUUCGAGUCGUUGAUUUCACACUGCCGAGAAAAGCCUCUAGAUAGAAAAUAGGUGCCCGUACCGCAAACCGACACAGGUAGUCAAGAUGAGAAUUCUAAGGUGAGCGAGCGAACUCUCGUUAAGGAACUCGGCAAAAUGACCCCGUAACUUCGGGAGAAGGGGUGCUCUUUAGGGUUAACGCCCAGAAGAGCCGCAGUGAAUAGGCCCAAGCGACUGUUUAUCAAAAACACAGGUCUCUGCUAAACCGUAAGGUGAUGUAUAGGGGCUGACGCCUGCCCGGUGCUGGAAGGUUAAGAGGAGUGGUUAGCUUCUGCGAAGCUACGAAUCGAAGCCCCAGUAAACGGCGGCCGUAACUAUAACGGUCCUAAGGUAGCGAAAUUCCUUGUCGGGUAAGUUCCGACCCGCACGAAAGGCGUAACGAUUUGGGCACUGUCUCAACGAGAGACUCGGUGAAAUCAUAGUACCUGUGAAGAUGCAGGUUACCCGCGACAGGACGGAAAGACCCCGUGGAGCUUUACUGUAGCCUGAUAUUGAAAUUCGGCACAGCUUGUACAGGAUAGGUAGGAGCCUUUGAAACGUGAGCGCUAGCUUACGUGGAGGCGCUGGUGGG
RNAcentral lists this ribosomal RNA (1076 nucleotides) under Staphylococcus aureus. Its description in RNAcentral is "partial 23S ribosomal RNA". It matches the Rfam family "Bacterial large subunit ribosomal RNA", at positions 1119 to 2196 of the family's 2925-position model. Lineage: Bacteria; Bacillati; Bacillota; Bacilli; Caryophanales; Staphylococcaceae. The record is from RNAcentral.